GAGGAUGUAGCUCAGUGGUAGAUCCUGAGCCUAGCAUGCACAAGGCCCUGGGUUCAAUCCCCAGUACCUUCA
Molecule: transfer RNA, 72 nt
Filed under: Camelus bactrianus (Bactrian camel)
Lineage: Eukaryota; Metazoa; Chordata; Mammalia; Artiodactyla; Camelidae
Also listed under: 2 other names
Rfam family: tRNA
About the family: Transfer RNA (tRNA) molecules are approximately 80 nucleotides in length. Their secondary structure includes four short double-helical elements and three loops (D, anti-codon, and T loops). Further hydrogen bonds mediate the characteristic L-shaped molecular structure. tRNAs have two regions of fundamental functional importance: the anti-codon, which is responsible for specific mRNA codon recognition, and the 3' end, to which the tRNAs corresponding amino acid is attached (by aminoacyl-tRNA synthetases). tRNAs cope with the degeneracy of the genetic code in two manners: having more than one tRNA (with a specific anti-codon) for a particular amino acid; and 'wobble' base-pairing, i.e. permitting non-standard base-pairing at the 3rd anti-codon position.
Source: Rfam by way of RNAcentral